RNAcentral lists this ribosomal RNA (608 nucleotides) under uncultured bacterium. RNAcentral's name for it is "bacterial SSU rRNA". It matches the Rfam family "Bacterial small subunit ribosomal RNA", at positions 60 to 646 of the family's 1533-position model. The record is from RNAcentral.
AGUCGCACGAGAAAGUCCUUCGGGAUGAGUAGAGUGGCGCACGGGUGAGUAACACGUAGGUGACCUCCCAAUUUGAGUGGGAUAACCCGGAGAAAUCCGGGCUAAUACCGCAUAAGAAUGACAAAAGUGGAACUAGUCAUUGAAAGGAAUGCCUCUGCUUGCAAGCAUUCGCGAAUUGAUGGGCCUGCGGGACAUUAGCUAGUUGGUGGGGUAAUGGCCUACCAAGGCAACGAUGUCUAGCGGAUCUGAGAGGAUGAUCCGCCACACUGGAACUGAGACACGGUCCAGACUCCUACGGGAGGCAGCAGUGGGGAAUCUUGCGCAAUGGGCGAAAGCCUGACGCAGCAACGCCGUGUGAGUGAGGAAGGCCUUCGGGUUGUAAAGCUCUGUCGGAUGGGAAAAAAGGCAGUACGUCGAAUAGGCGUAUUGAGUGAUGGUACCAUCAAAGGAAGCACCGGCAAACUUCGUGCCAGCAGCCGCGGUAAUACGAAGGGUGCAAGCGUUGUUCGGAUUUAUUGGGCGUAAAGCGCGCGCAGGCGGAUUUGCAAGUCAGAUGUGAAAUCUCGGGGCUCAACCCCGAAACUGCGUCUGAAACUACAAGUCUAGAA